AAACUUUCAACAAUGGAUCUCUUGGUUCCGGCAUCGAUGAAGAACGCAGCGAAAUGCGAUAACUAGUGUGAAUUGCAGAAUUCCGUGAAUCAUCGAGUCUUUGAACGCACAUUGCGCCCCCUGGUAUUCCGGGGGGCAUGCCUGUCCGAGCGUCAUUGCUGCCCAUC
Molecule: ribosomal RNA, 167 nt
Filed under: Aspergillus oryzae
Lineage: Eukaryota; Fungi; Ascomycota; Eurotiomycetes; Eurotiales; Aspergillaceae
Description: 5.8S ribosomal RNA
Rfam family: 5.8S ribosomal RNA
About the family: 5.8S ribosomal RNA (5.8S rRNA) is a component of the large subunit of the eukaryotic ribosome. It is transcribed by RNA polymerase I as part of the 45S precursor that also contains 18S and 28S rRNA. Functionally, it is thought that 5.8S rRNA may be involved in ribosome translocation.
Source: RNAcentral